UCAUAGAAGAAGAGGCCAAAGAUGGCCGAUACAACGUCAAGAGGCUACACGAUACAAACACGACGCCACACGGAGCACAACACAACCCACACCGCCAAGCAACAAGACUCGUCUUGCACAUCCUCCAACCAUGAACGACGAGGAGGGUGUACACCGAGCUUCAAAGCCGCGUCACGACCGAAAUGAGAACUUUAGACCUACUCCAAC
RNAcentral lists this long non-coding RNA (207 nucleotides) under Hordeum vulgare. Its description in RNAcentral is "long non-coding RNA (HVUL_LNC004910)". Lineage: Eukaryota; Viridiplantae; Streptophyta; Magnoliopsida; Poales; Poaceae. The record is from RNAcentral.